AGCGAACGCUGGCGGCAGGCUUAACACAUGCCAGUCGAGCGGGCAUCCUUGUGGUGUCCGCGGCAGACGGGUGAGUAACGCGUGGGAACGUGCCCUUCGGUUCGGAAUAACUCAGGGAAACUUGCGCUAAUACCGGAUACGCCCUUUUGGGGAAAGGUUUACUGCCGAAGGAUCGGCCCGCGUCUGAUUAGCUAGUUGGUGAGGUUAUGGCUCACCAAGGCGACGAUCAGUAGCUGGUCUGAGAGGAUGAUCAGCCACACUGGGACUGAGACACGGCCCAGACUCCUACGGGAGGCAGCAGUGGGGAAUAUUGGACAAUGGGGGCAACCCUGAUCCAGCCAUGCCGGGUGAGUGAUGACGGCCUUAGGGUUGUAAAGCUCUUUUCUCCGGGACGAUAAUGACGGUACCGGAGGAAUAAGCCCCGGCUAACUUCGUG
RNAcentral lists this ribosomal RNA (436 nucleotides) under uncultured bacterium. Its description in RNAcentral is "partial 16S ribosomal RNA". It matches the Rfam family "Bacterial small subunit ribosomal RNA", at positions 29 to 507 of the family's 1533-position model. The record is from RNAcentral.